AUGCCAUGAUGAGGACAUCUUCUGAGCAACUUUUUAAAUCUCUCUCAAGGCUCAUACAAGCUCUCAUCUUCAAGUUAGUGAAAAAAGGUGAUCUCAUUCCGUAAUUUU
Molecule: non-coding RNA, 108 nt
Organism: Citrus sinensis (sweet orange)
Lineage: Eukaryota; Viridiplantae; Streptophyta; Magnoliopsida; Sapindales; Rutaceae
Source: Rfam